UGGGGAAUUUUGGACAAUGGGGGCAACCCUGAUCCAGCCAUUCCGCGUGAGUGAAGAAGGCCUUCGGGUUGUAAAGCUCUUUCAGCUGGAACGAAACGGUCCGCUCUAACAUAGCGGGCUACUGACGGUACCAGCAGAAGAAGCACCGGCUAACUACGUGCCAGCAGCCGCGGUAAUACGUAGGGUGCGAGCGUUAAUCGGAAUUACUGGGCGUAAAGCGUGCGCAGGCGGAUUGUUAAGCAAGAUGUGAAAUCCCCGGGCUUAACCUGGGAAUGGCAUUUUGAACUGGCAGUCUAGAGUGCGUCAGAGGGGGGUGGAAUUCCACGUGUAGCAGUGAAAUGCGUAGAGAUGUGGAGGAACACCGAUGGCGAAGGCAGCCCCCUGGGAUGACACUGACGCUCAUGUACGAAAGCGUGGGUAGCAAACAGG
RNAcentral lists this ribosomal RNA (429 nucleotides) under uncultured bacterium. Its description in RNAcentral is "bacterial SSU rRNA". It matches the Rfam family "Bacterial small subunit ribosomal RNA", at positions 355 to 776 of the family's 1533-position model. The record is from RNAcentral.